This 72-nucleotide transfer RNA is filed under the name Deltaproteobacteria bacterium CG_4_9_14_3_um_filter_63_12. RNAcentral's name for it is "tRNA-Val". It matches the Rfam family "tRNA". Rfam says of the family: Transfer RNA (tRNA) molecules are approximately 80 nucleotides in length. Their secondary structure includes four short double-helical elements and three loops (D, anti-codon, and T loops). Lineage: Bacteria; Deltaproteobacteria. RNAcentral also lists the same sequence under 1 other name. The record is from RNAcentral.
GGGGCGUUAACUCAGUGGGAGAGUGCCACCUUCACACGGUGGAAGUCGCAAGUUCAAAUCUUGCACGCCCCA